ACAUAUUGUUCACUUUGAAUAUCUUAAAAUUUCAGGCAAGUAUAUCGCUGUUACAAAUAGGAAUAAUUUAUCUAGGCGUUAGUUGUUGAGGAUAAGCGAAGUUGGCUGGACAACAUCUUCAAUACUUCAAAAAAAUUGAAUCAGCAGCAGGGCUGGGAACCCGAUCGGAACCCGGAACCCGGAACCCUCAGAACCCGCAUGUUUAUGCGGAACCGGAACCGGAACCCGAACCCGAAACUUCGGACCUUCAGAACCGGAACCGGAACCGGAACCGCCGGGGCACAAUCCGAGAACAGGGUUCCUACACGGGUUCCGUAUCGGUUCCGUGACAGCUGAUGUUGCAGCAACGCCGGGUUUGAGACGGCCCCGUAUCCAAGGAAAUUGUAACAAAUUUUUUAUCGGUGAAAAAUCAAUUUAAUUGAGCGAACUCAUUUUAAGUGAAGUGGAAUUUUAAAAAGUAAAAUGGGAAGUAUUAGAAUUUUUUUUGACUACAUCAAGGAAGAAAAUAAAUCAGUUUGUAGACGUUGCAAAGAAAAAAUAGGAGGGAAUCAUGUAACAAACUUAAAAAAGCAUGUCCGAACGCAGCACAAGGAGGAAUACGAAGAGUGGUUAAACAAACAAAAGACCGAAGAAGAAGAUAACCUCAAAAACAAAAAACGGAAUCGAGAAGACGAAGAUGCUGCAGCAGGAAGUUCAGAAAUGGUUGCAGCAGCAUACAGAAGAGGAAGAAGAAGAAUGCGGGUUGGACAAUCAGUUUUUCCAAAACGACGAAGAAGAAAUGGGGCAGAUUCGAGGUUUUCGCUGUGCGGCUCAUACCCUACAAUUAACUAUAGCUGAUGUGUGGAAAAGUGGAAAGUACUCCAACGUCUUAGCCAAAGUCCGACGAGCUGUGAAAGAGUUGAAAAAUACAAACGUCGUGAUUCUACUGAAACUAAAGAAGUUGAAUGUGGCCAUAAUAGAUUGCCCAACGAGGUGGUCCUCCACGUACCUUAUGCUGCAACGGCUAAUCUCGCUGAGAGAAUUUUGCGUGGAGUAUGCAGGCUCCUUCCCUAACCUGCACUUGACUGAGGGCACUUGGAAUAUUAUCACAGAGAUGUUAACCUCUCUUCAGCCGUUGGACAUUGCAACAAAGCAACUCCAGUCAGAGGACUUACUCAUGGGUGACUUACUCGCUGCUUGGACCAAUUGCGUUCUUCACCUUAUUUCUGUCGGUACCAACAUCUCGGAAGACUUAUAUAAAGCAAUGCAGAAAAGGCAAGAUAUUCUGUUAGAAAAUGCAAUUUUCUGCAGUUCGGUGUUGAUGGACCCGCGAUAUAAGGGCCUCCUGAGCAAGCAGCAGAAAGAAAAAGCUAUUACUCAUCUACUCACUACGUGGCAAACCAUCAAUCUACUGGAGGCGCCGGUCGAAGAUUCUCAAGAGAUUGGUUCAGCAGCAGAAUGUGCAGAAGAACUACCCCAAACGUCUGCCGAUCCCCUGGAAGGGUUUCUAGCUCAAGCAGAUGAAGCAGCGUCUUCAGCAGAAACGACUCCUCAAAACUCUGAUGAAAUUAAGCGCAUCCUGAAAAAUUACAGCACUCAAAAGAGACCCGUUGACCUGAAGAAUUAUGCUAGUCCCAUGCUGUAUUGGAAGGCAAAGAAGGCGGAUUCUCAUCCCAACUUCGUAUUGUACAAACUUGCUCAGGUGGUUUUAUCAGCUCCUGCCACGCAGGUUAGUGUUGAAAGACUGUUUUCGGGCCUAGCGUUCAUUCUAUCCCCCUCAGAGCCAGCAUCGCGCCGGACUUGCUGGAAAGUAUCCUGUUGCUCCGGUAUGCUUAAGUAAUAUCAUUUUCAAUUGCUUGAUUCAAAUUAUUGUUUCUAAAUUAAUCAUUUUGAUUGCUUCAUUAAAAUUGCCCAGUUUUGAACUCUCUCUCAUUUUGAGUAAUUUACUUUAAAAUUAAAUUAUUUUCGCGAAUACUAAUACCAUGGAACCCGAGUGGAACCGGUUCCGGAACCGGUUCCGGAACCGGGACCCGAAUCUUCGGACCCCCGGAACCGGAACCGGAACCGGAACCCGAAUCAUUGGACCAUGAGAACCGGAACCGGAACCGGUUCCAAAAUCCAUUCGGGUUCCCAGCCCUGAUCAGCAGACUUACGCCUUUCGCCAACUAAUCAAAAUUGUGAAUCAAAAACAUUUCUAAUGUUCUAUUUUGCCCAUUUCCAGUUAUCAGUUAUCCAGUUAUUUAAGUUAUCCUACGGAAUCGUUUUAUGGGCUUCUCCACCAGAACUAAGGGCUUGCUAGAAGCCCAAAAUAGGGCACUGAGAAUAACAGAAAACACCAUUCAAUUUUCCAUAUAGAGAGAUUUUUGUAAAAUUAAAAAUUUUAACAGUCCACAACCUUUUUAUUUUUGAGCUGUUGGAGACAUCAAUAAAGAAGGGUCUGAUGACUCAAAAUGGAAUGAUCUCAAACCAUUCUUACACGACAAGACAUUAUUUUUACAAAAUCGAGCCCAUAGUGUCAGAUCUUCCAUUUUCAGUUAGCAGUUUGGCAGUAAACAUUUUUAAUAUCCUGUCAAAAGAUUUAAAAGUAACAUUUAAAGAAAAUGGAUCCUCUCCAUUUCUCUCAAAGUCGAAGGAUAAACUUAUAAAUCAACCAUAUUACGUUACAGUCUACAUGAGUUCUACGACUCUCCAGUUAGUGUAUCAUUUUACUGUAAUCUAGUCU
This 2701-nucleotide long non-coding RNA is filed under the name Bemisia tabaci. RNAcentral describes it as "lncRNA ENSSWEETPG004650". Lineage: Eukaryota; Metazoa; Arthropoda; Insecta; Hemiptera; Aleyrodidae. The record is from RNAcentral.